This 497-nucleotide ribosomal RNA is filed under the name uncultured bacterium. RNAcentral describes it as "partial 16S ribosomal RNA". It matches the Rfam family "Bacterial small subunit ribosomal RNA", at positions 28 to 507 of the family's 1533-position model. The record is from RNAcentral.
GAUGAACGCUGGCGGCGUGCCUAAUACAUGCAAGUCGAGCGAACGGACGCGAAGCUUGCUUCUCUGAUGUUAGCGGCGGACGGGUGAGUAACACGUGGAUAACCUACCUAUAAGACUGGGAUAACUUCGGGAAACCGUAGCUAAUACCGGAUAAUAUUUUGAACCGCAUGGUUCAAAAGUGAAAGACGGUCUUGCUGUCACUUAUAGAUGGAUCCGCGCUGCAUUAGCUAGUUGGUAAGGUAACGGCUUACCAAGGCAACGAUGCAUAGCCGACCUGAGAGGGUGAUCGGCCACACUGGAACUGAGACACGGUCCAGACUCCUACGGGAGGCAGCAGUAGGGAAUCUUCCGCAAUGGGCGAAAGCCUGACGGAGCAACGCCGCGUGAGUGAUGAAGGUCUUCGGAUCGUAAAACUCUGUUAUUAGGGAAGAACAUAUGUGUAAGUAACUGUGCACAUCUUGACGGUACCUAAUCAGAAAGCCACGGCUAACUACGUG